This 319-nucleotide RNase P RNA is filed under the name Erysipelotrichaceae bacterium. RNAcentral's name for it is "RNase P RNA component class B". It matches the Rfam family "Bacterial RNase P class B". Rfam says of the family: Ribonuclease P (RNase P) is a ubiquitous endoribonuclease, found in archaea, bacteria and eukarya as well as chloroplasts and mitochondria. Its best characterised activity is the generation of mature 5'-ends of tRNAs by cleaving the 5'-leader elements of precursor-tRNAs. The record is from RNAcentral. Lineage: Bacteria; Bacillati; Bacillota; Erysipelotrichia; Erysipelotrichales; Erysipelotrichaceae.
AACAUCAGGCAAUCGCUGGGAAACCAGAGGAAAGUCCAUGCUCGCACAGCCUGUGAUGGCUGUAGUGUUUGUGCUAAGCCAAUAAAUAAGCUUAGGUAGUUAAUAGCUAACGGCUGGUGUAAUUCCUAAGGGCAACUAUGGAAUGAACCUGUAAAAGUGUCAAAGAGACGAUACUGAUAGAAAUAUCAGGAGUGGAACGUGAUAAACCCCGCAAGCGAGAAACCCAAAUUUGGUAGGGGAAUCUGAAUAGUGAAUCGAAACGAAUUCAGGCUAGAAAUAGAGAUAAAUGAUUGCUUAAUACAGAACAUGGCUUAUUAAU